GAAAAUACUAACACCGAUCACGAGACGUAGUGCUUCGUUCUCCUCGUUUUUUUUUUCUGUGCUUUGCUCGGCACCCUGAGCGUACCGCCAUCAUCUGCCAGCGAAUACACCGCGCCUUGAUUGUCCUGUGUCACCCCCUUCGCUUCCUCUCUGGCCCCGUGGUUUCAACUCUUCCCUUCGCCGUCCUUUCCUCGAUCACCCAAGCCGCAGACCUUCGCUGUAUUACCCCCUCUCUUCCCCCCGUACGCGCUGCCUUCCCUUCGCUGCCACACCCACCCAGGCACAGAAGCAGGAGCACAUUCAAGUGUCUGAGCGCAGCCAAGACGUGAAGGUGCAGCCACCGUCUUCUUUUUUUUGCUCUUACGAUUGUUAUUUCUUAUUCAGACGGCUGCUUCUUUUCAGAUUGGUCUGCACACACACACACACACCCUCACACACAAGCACACACGCACGCACGCAUACAUACACGAAGCCACACACGCACACUCGUGCGAAACGCAAGCGUGCAGGUAUCUCUCUUCUCUUUCUUUGCCCGUCUACGCCGCUGCUGAUUUUUUUACUGUUUUUCACCUCUUCUGUUGUCUGCACUCAGCUACCAAGUCUCUCACUUCGGUUGCGGUCUCCUCACGCCACCCUCUCUUCGCCGCUUUUUCUCUUUUAUCACGUCCUUUCGGCACCCUUGUCUGCCCCCUGCGGUCACGUGCUCGCCAUACGCUUGUACGUGCUCCGGGGACUGUCGUUGAUCUUGCGCUGCUCCUUCUCGAGAACUAUCUCUCCUUGUUUUCGUUGGUUCUAUAGAUCGCGGGGUGGUGAGACCCGUAGAGGCAUAGAACGCGCCGUCUGGGCGCACCAAGAUAGCUCAGCUGCUCUCAUCGCGCCCUCUUAGCCAACUCUCUCUUUUCUGCUUGCCGUUUACGUGUUGUGCUUCUGUGUUUUUCCAUCUCUUUUCUCGUGCUUGUGGUGUGCCGUGUGCGCGUGUUUUUGCGUCCUUGCCGUCCGCGCCACUUAGCUACCAUUUGAAACUUUUUGUGCGGUCGCUGGUUUUCGCUUUUUUUUUCACUCGUAACUAUAUCGACCUCGCUCUGCUUUUCGAGGAGACCGUGUCUUAGGUGUGCCGCACUAGCACGUGAAGAGGGGCUUCCGUCGCGCGAGGGUUUUACUAAAGUUGGCGCGUGAGGCAAAUCUGCCCGCGCGCGUGCUGCAUCGCAGCUCCGCGCUUACACAGGAAAUCAGAUACACACAUUACACCCGACCACCACACUGGACGGAUCUUUCUCCCUUUGUUGUCCUUGUGAGGUUUGGGCUUUGCACCAUACAGUGGGAUCAGUUCAUUCCCCCCCCCCCCCCACACGGCCCGCGCCAUAAUGCCGAGCUUCUUUCUGUUUGGGAGGAAGAAGGAUAAGAAGAAAAAGGCUCGCGAUGGUACCAGGGACGAGGGCGACGCGGCAACUCCCUCGUUGACGGCCAUGGAGAACUCUAACGACUCGAAAGAGUCGGCGACAAAGCACGGUAAAGGAUCCACUACGUCUCACGAUGCAGCGGGCGGGUCUACGCCCCCAAGUCUAGACACGCCGCCCGCCGACGCCUCCGGCCCAGCCACCGAGACUUCACCACCGUUGCCGCCCUCGAGGAAGCAGCAAUCCUAUUCCGAAAGCGCUCUGCAGGAGUUACCGCCACCGCCGCUGUCGUCAUCUCCGGCGACCAACUCGCCUGGUCUUCGGGCGAGUGCGGUUCAUCUUACCCUCCAGCACUCCACGCUCGAUGACGCCCCCGUCUCUACCCCGCACAGCGUGGACCUGUUUCCGUGCGAGAUGUCAGAGGUGACGAUCCCGCAGCUCACCGAAGUGUUUCAGGUCUUUCGGACGUUCCUCGACAACUGCACAAGCACGGAGGUGAAGCAGGAGUCUGUGUCGAAGCUGCGCAAGAUCCUUCCCGAGAUCGCCGCCGUCGACACCACUGUGUCAGAUGAGACGAUCAAGGCGCAGAACUUCCACCCGACAUUUUCGAUCGAGCCUAUACUGAGUCACUUGUUGGCGCAGCCGGCCCCGCUGCGCGCGCGCCUCUGCCUCGCCAUCUACCGCUUCUGCGGAGAGCUGUGCGAGGAGCUGGAGGGUGACCUGCUCUGCCAAGAGACAGGGCUCUUUAGUGGCCUGCAAUGUAUGAACCCGAAUCUGCGUCCCGCCGCCGACGGCGACUACGGCAGCUCUGAAGAUCCACAUCAAACCUCCCCCUUUGGUGGUAGUUUCGCGGAGAACGGGACUGCGAAGAUAGAACGCUGUCCUGAAAUCGAUCUCCCGAAGAUCUACAAGAGUCUCCUGCACAAGGAAGACUACCUACCGAGUGCCGAAGAGCUCAACGAGAUCUUCCUGCGAGUGCAGGAGCUGCUACGAGUCGAGCCAAAUGUGGUGAUGGUGGCGAUGCCGGCCGUUCUCGUCGGAGAUCUGCAUGGGCAGAUACGCGAUCUGCUGGAAAAUGUGCUGACGCUGGGGGGCCCACUCGUGUCGAAUGAGGCGCUGGCGCUGGCGUCCCCUAAAUCCCAUGCGGCCAAGUCGAAGGCGCCCACCUCCCAGAAGAGAGGCAGCGUUGCUGCGGCACCUCCCACCUCCAAGAAGAGCGGCAAGGCGGCAGGCGCAGCGAAGACCUUCAGUGGGGCGCUGAAAGGUGAUGAGAGCCGACCCACGCGGCCGCCGAACUACUUGUUCCUGGGUGAUUAUGUCGACCGUGGGCCGAGCAGCCUGUGCGUGAUUGCACUGCUCUUCACGGCCAAGCUAUUAUCGCCGAACACCGUGUUCUUGUUGCGUGGUAACCACGAGUGCCCGAAUACAAAUCGCUUCUACGGCUUCCUCGACGAAUGCCACCGUCGCUACCCCAUUGUGAACCACAAGGUCACCACGCUCCACAUGUGCACACGGUCGGCGUCCGAAGAGAACACGGACGAUGCGGCAGCAAAUCGAAGCGGCAGCGGCAGCAGCUCCCCAGGCGCCAGCUCCACCUGCGAGGGCGACAGCGGCGCCCUGAGCAAGAUCAAUACGAACAGCAGCGUCGAGCCGACCGCGGCUGAGCUGGGCGGGCAUCUCGGCAGGGACUGCGAUUCAAGUCCUGAUGACAUGGGGUGGGACAUGAAGGAUCACCCGCUGUGGCUUGUCGCGAAUGACGCACUUUGCUCACUUCCUCUCUGCGCCGCGCUUUACGAGGAGGUAGAGGAGGGCGACGACGGCGCGACCCUGCCGCCAGCCACUGCCGCUGCCGCGCCGAACAUCGAGGACAUGCUUGCAGCUGACGGCACCGAGAACCCUGGAACGGCAUCGAAAGCGAAAAAGCCAACCACAGCGAAAGCCGUAAAGAAGAGUACCCGGCGCAGCAUUGGUAACGCAAGUUUCGCGGAGCCCUUCAAGUCUCCAAAUCUCGCAGCGGGCAAGUCGUCUACGUUCACUGACAGCAAUGCACGCGCCACUAGCAGCAAGACAGCCAGUACCUCCGGCGAACCGUCGCCACUGUCCCCGCCAAGCGCCAGUGCAUCCUUUGCAAAACCGAAGAAGAUGCGGCAGGUCGUGCGCGUGUGCGCAAUGCACGGUGGCCUGUCCCCCUUCAUUGACGACAGCUUCGACGGCAUCAUCGCCAUUAACCGGUUCCGCAACAUCGAGCAUGGUGCGCUGGCCGACCUCACGUGGUCAGAUCCAUCCUCCAGCGCAGCCGCCGACGGCGCGACGGCGUCGGACUCCCGUGCGAACGCGAGCCAGCCACCUUUGAGCAAGUUCCAGUCUAUCUGCGUCUUCAACGGAGCCCCCAUUGGCUUCACCGGUAAUCCGCGUGGCACAGGGCACAUCUUCGGCGAGGAUGCCACGAUAAACUUCAUCAACACAAAUCAUCUGUAUUUUAUCGUGCGCGCGCACCAGUGCGUGCAGGAGGGCUUUCAGUGGAACCACAAAGACCGCCUGCUGACGGUGUUUUCCGCCCCAAACUACUGCGGUAUGCGCAAUAAAGGCGCGGUUGUUCUGCUGGAUAAGAAUGGGGCCCCUACACUGAAACAGUACACGUACAAGGAAGUUGAGGAGAAACCGGACGCGAAGACCACGGGCGCGCCACAGCCACCGAGGCUAUUCUCGUAGGGGCGCGCAUUGCGCACCCUGGCCCGCGCUACUGCGCGGUAUAGGAACCAUCUAGCUCAUCUCUUUUUUCUUCUGUGUAUGUGUCUUGUGGCGACUGCUAGUUGAUUGGGUGUGGUCCCUUCACUCGCCUCUCCGCUGUCCCUUGUGCGUGUGUGCAUGCCCACCUGCGUGCGUGUGGGUGGGUGUACACGACGGCUGGUAGGCGACGACUCCACUCGCUUUCCGCGUUUGAUCUGAUCAAGCCAUUUGGCGGUGCUUCUUGUCUCUUGCAUGUAUACGUUUCCUUUACCUUUUUUUUGUGGAUCGCCCUCGACUUUGCUGCCCCCCUCCUCGUCCUUCCUCCUCGCCUUUCGUGUCUUUGACUUGAUUCUGUAUUUGCUGGUUACUGUUUCGCGGGAGGAAGAAAACAAAGCAAAACGAAAAAAAAAUGCGCGGGUCACAGGUUGCGGAAAGGGGACGUGAAGGGUUUGCUCUGUGGCUGUGACCUCCGUCCCUCACUCUUUUUUUCUUCCAAUACUACCGUGGCCUUGCAUUCUAUAUAUAUAUAUAUAUGUGUGUGCGUUCGUAUUUUCUUUCGCAUAGGUGUUUGUGUGCCCACUACCCGCGUUGGCCACGUCGCAUGCAUGCACAUCCCAACGUGAGCACACAUGCGGAUAUGCAUGCACGAAUGCCGAUG
This 4785-nucleotide unclassified non-coding RNA is filed under the name Leishmania donovani. RNAcentral's name for it is "gene:LdHU3.36.2820(CDS-product:serine/threonine_p rotein_phosphatase_putative)". Lineage: Eukaryota; Euglenozoa; Kinetoplastea; Trypanosomatida; Trypanosomatidae. The record is from RNAcentral.